AUUGAACGCUGGCGGCAGGCUUAACACAUGCAAGUCGAGCGGAGUGAUGGUGCUUGCACUAUCACUUAGCGGCGGACGGGUGAGUAAUGCUUAGGAAUCUGCCUAUUAGUGGGGGACAACAUCUCGAAAGGGAUGCUAAUACCGCAUACGUCCUACGGGAGAAAGCAGGGGAUCACUUGUGACCUUGCGCUAAUAGAUGAGCCUAAGUCGGAUUAGCUAGUUGGUGGGGUAAAGGCCUACCAAGGCGACGAUCUGUAGCGGGUCUGAGAGGAUGAGCCGCCACACUGGGACUGGGACACGGCCCAGACUCCUACGGGAGGCAGCAGUGGGGAAUAUUGGACAAUGGGGGGAACCCUGAUCCAGCCAUGCCGCGUGUGUGAAGAAGGCCUUAUGGUUGUAAAGCACUUUAAGCGAGGAGGAGGCUUACCUAGUUAAUACCUGGGAUAAGUGGACGUUACUCGCAGAAUAAGCACCGGCUAACUCUGUGCCAGCAGCCGCCGUAA
RNAcentral lists this ribosomal RNA (503 nucleotides) under uncultured bacterium. RNAcentral's name for it is "partial 16S ribosomal RNA". It matches the Rfam family "Bacterial small subunit ribosomal RNA", at positions 30 to 523 of the family's 1533-position model. The record is from RNAcentral.